AGAGUUUGAUCCUGGCUCAGGACGAACGCUAGCGGCGUGCUUAACACAUGCAAGUCGUACGAGGUUUACCGAGGAGCUUGCUCUUUGGUAGCCUAGUGGCGCACUGGUGCGCAACACGUGAGCAACCUGUCCUACGGCGGGGGAUAGCCGGCCCAACGGCCGGGUAAUACCGCGUAAUGCGCCGGAAUUUAUGUUCCGGUGUGAAAGCGGCCGCAAGGUCGCGCCGAAGGAGGGGCUCGCGUCCUAUCAGCUUGUUGGUGGGGUAACGGCCUACCAAGGCUACGACGGGUAGCUGGUCUGAGAGGAUGAUCAGCCACAUUGGGACUGAGAUACGGCCCAGACUCCUACGGGAGGCAGCAGUGGGGAAUAUUGCGCAAUGGCCGCAAGGCUGACGCAGCGACGCCGCGUGUGGGAUGAAGGCCUUCGGGUUGUAAACCACUGUCGGGAGGGACGAAUACCUGGCUUCAAAUAGUUGACCAGGGGUGACGGUACCUCCAAAGGAAGCACCGGCUAACUCCGUGCCAGCAGCCGCGGUAAUACGGAGGGUGCGAGCGUUGUCCGGAAUCACUGGGCGUAAAGAGUGCGUAGGCGGUCGUUUAAGUCGUUUGUGAAAUCCCGAGGCUCAACCUCGGGCCCUGCGGUGAAACUG
This 649-nucleotide ribosomal RNA is filed under the name uncultured bacterium. Its description in RNAcentral is "bacterial SSU rRNA". It matches the Rfam family "Bacterial small subunit ribosomal RNA", at positions 8 to 635 of the family's 1533-position model. The record is from RNAcentral.